GACGAACGCUGGCGGCGUGCUUAACACAUGCAAGUCGAACGGAAAGGCCCUGCUUUUGUGGGGUGCUCGAGUGGCGAACGGGUGAGUAACACGUGAGUCACCUGCCCUUGACUUUGGGAUAACUUCAGGAAACUGGUGCUAAUCCCGGAUAGGAGCUCCUGCUGCAUGGUGGGGGUUGGACCGUUUCGGCGGUUGGGGAUGGACUCGCGGCUUAUCAGCUUGUUGGUGGGUUACUGGCUUACCAAGACGUUGACGGGUAGCCGGCCUGCGAGGGUGACCGGCCACAUUGGGACUGAGAUACGGCCCAGACUCCUACGGGCGGCAGCAGUGGGGAAUAUUGCACAAUGGGCGGAAGCCUGACGCAGCAACGCCGCGUGCGGGAUGACGGCCUUCGGGUUGUAAACCGCUUUCGCCUGUGACGAAGCGUGAGUGACGGUAAUGGGUAAAGAAGCACCGGCUAACUACGUG
This 468-nucleotide ribosomal RNA is filed under the name uncultured bacterium. RNAcentral describes it as "partial 16S ribosomal RNA". It matches the Rfam family "Bacterial small subunit ribosomal RNA", at positions 28 to 507 of the family's 1533-position model. The record is from RNAcentral.